Molecule: ribosomal RNA, 407 nt
Filed under: uncultured bacterium
Lineage: Bacteria
Description: partial 16S ribosomal RNA
Rfam family: Bacterial small subunit ribosomal RNA
Source: RNAcentral
AUUGAACGCUGGCGGCAGGCCUAACACAUGCAAGUCGAGCGGAGCGGCGGACGGGUGAGUAAUGCCUAGGAAUCUGCCUGGUAGUGGGGGAUAACGUCCGGAAACGGGCGCUAAUACCGCAUACUAUCAGAUGAGCCUAGGUCGGAUUAGCUAGUUGGUGGGGUAAAGGCCUACCAAGGCUACGAUCCGUAACUGGGCUGAGAGGAUGAUCAGUCAUACUGGAACUGAGAAACGGUCCAGAGUCCUACGGGAGGCAGCAGUGGGGAAUAUUGGACAAUGGGCGCAAGCCUGAUGCAGCCAUGCCGCGUGUAUGAAGAAGGCCUUCGGGUUGUAAAGUACUGUCAGUCGGGAGGCGUUACCGACAGAAGAAGCACCGGCUAACUCCGUGCCAGCCGCCGCGGUAAUAC